CUCUUUCCCUUCACCCCGCUCUGCCGGUGGUUACCCAGUGCUUGGCUCUGAAAUACUGCACGCAUUUGGCUCCCAGGGCCCCUCUGCCUCCGUACACCAGCACCCUAUGCGCCUCCGCCGCCGCUGCCAUGCUCCGGCCGCCGCCCGCCCGGCUCC
Long non-coding RNA from Chelonia mydas (Green sea turtle), 156 nucleotides. RefSeq lists it as uncharacterized. The record is from RefSeq and is a predicted model, not a curated record. The transcript has 3 exons. Lineage: Eukaryota; Metazoa; Chordata; Testudines; Cheloniidae.